RNAcentral lists this transfer RNA (71 nucleotides) under Rheobates palmatus (palm rocket frog). RNAcentral describes it as "tRNA-Val". It matches the Rfam family "tRNA". From Rfam's summary of the family: Transfer RNA (tRNA) molecules are approximately 80 nucleotides in length. Their secondary structure includes four short double-helical elements and three loops (D, anti-codon, and T loops). Lineage: Eukaryota; Metazoa; Chordata; Amphibia; Anura; Aromobatidae. The record is from RNAcentral.
CAGGAAAUACCUUAAUUUAAAGUACUUCGCUUACACCGAAACAAUAUUUGUGAAAAUCAAAUUUUCCUGAG